AUAAUACUUCACUUCAUAAAUAAGUAGAAAUCGCAUAACAUUGAGAUUGUAGUUAGGGAUGGAAAUCAAAAUAUGGCAUGAAUAUAACAAUUGCCACCAAUGUGCUUCAAGAAAGAACUUAUUUGUCUUUUAUUCCCAUGUUUGAACUAGUACAGGUCGAGGUUACACAUGAUGGUGCACAUCACUUUAUUUAUCAUCGUUACAUUAUGCUCCAUUUACUAACAAUGAUGAUUCACCCGUCUAGUAUUACAUCUCUUCAUUUCAUCUGCCACUGAUACUUAUAACGUCGCUCCCAGAUGGUUGUUGUUGUGGAUAUUGUUUGUAUGGGGAAGGUUCUUGUGAUUGCUGGGGUGGGUAUGGUAUUGGAAAUUGUUGUUGGGAAAAUUGUUGUGGUGGUUGCUGGGGGAAUUGUUGUUGGGGUAAUUGUUGUUGUUCGAGGUAUUUUUGUGGUUGGGAGAAUUGUUGUUGCGGUAAUUGUUGUUGUUGGGGGAAUUGUUGUUGUUGGGGGGAUUUCUGUUGGGGGAAUUAUUGUUGGGGAAAUUGUUGUUGCGGGAAUGGUUGUUUGGGGAAUUGUUGUUGCGGGAAUUGCUGUUUUUGGGGAAAUUGUUGUUAUUGGGGGGAUUGUUGCUCGGGGAAUUGUUGUNNNNNNNNNNNNNNNNNNNNNNNNNNNNNNNNNNNNNNNNNNNNNNNNNNNNNNNNNNNNNNNNNNNNNNNNNNNNNNNNNNNNNNNNNNNNNNNNNNNNNNNNNNNNNNNNNNNNNNNNNNNNNNNNNNNNNNNNNNNNNNNNNNNNNNNNNNNNNNNNNNNNNNNNNNNNNNNNNNNNNNNNNNNNNNNNNNNNNNNNNNNNNNNNNNNNNNNNNNNNNNNNNNNNNNNNNNNNNNNNNNNNNNNNNNNNNNNNNNNNNNNNNNNNNNNNNNNNNNNNNNNNNNNNNNNNNNNNNNNNNNNNNNNNNNNNNNNNNNNNNNNNNNNNNNNNNNNNNNNNNNNNNNNNNNNNNNNNNNNNNNNNNNNNNNNNNNNNNNNNNNNNNNNNNNNNNNNNNNNNNNNNNNNNNNNNNNNNNNNNNNNNNNNNNNNNNNNNNNNNNNNNNNNNNNNNNNNNNNNNNNNNNNNNNNNNNNNNNNNNNNNNNNNNNNNNNNNNNNNNNNNNNNNNNNNNNNNNNNNNNNNNNNNNNNNNNNNNNNNNNNNNNNNNNNNNNNNNNNNNNNNNNNNNNNNNNNUCUAUUGUGGGAAUUGCUAUUGGGGAAAUUGUUGUUGGGGGAAUUGUUGUUGUUGCGGGAAUUGCUGCUGUUGAGGGAAUUGUUGCUGGGGGAGUUAUUGUGGUUGGGGGAUUUGUUGUUGGGGGAAUUGUUGUGAUUGCUGGGGGGAUUUGAUGUUGUUGGGGGAGUUGUUGUUGGGGGAUUUGUUGUGGUUGAGGGAAUUGUUGUGGUUGGGGGAAUUGUUGUUGUUGUGUAUGCAAUUCCUUGCCUAUAGGGCUUAGUUGCCUAGUGGCACUGGCGUUGUUCAUUGUCAUGGCAAGGAGGACAAAUAUGAUGAAGGUCUUCAUGUUUGAUUUGUAUUUACUAUUGCUCACUUGUCUUUGAUGUUUUAGCUCCAGGUGCUUGAAGGUUGGAUGAUGGAAGAGACCCACAUGGUGUAGUAGCAUUUAUAGCUGGCAUCGCACAUUUUCUUUUCAUCUUCACACUCUUUUCUUGAAAAAGUGCUCUUAAGCUUAUCGACCUCAUAAUUUGGUAUGUUGUGUUUGAUGGCACUACAUACUAGCGUGAUUUUGGAUUGUUCAUCAUAGCUGAUUGUUCUUGCUCAUAUCAUCUCGGUGUAUCAAAUGCUUGAUAACGACGAAUGACUCAUCGUAUUCACUUUACACUUCAAACAUUGAUCUAGAUUUUAUCCAUCUUUCUGAUUUAGCUUGUGAUGUUCUGCAUGUUGUUAGGUGUAUCCAGAUUGGCAUAACUUAAGGGAACUAAGUUUGUAAUCUUCACACUCGCUUCUUGAAAAAGUGUUCUUAAGCUUAUCAAUUACCUAAUAAUUUGGUAUGUUGUGUUUCAUGGCACUACUUACUAGUGUGAUUUUGGAUUGUUCUUCAUAAUUGAUUGUUCUUGCACAUAUCAUCUAGGUGUAUGGAAUGCUUGAUAACGACAAAUGACUCAACGUAUUCACUUGACACUUCAAACAUUGAUCUAGAUUAUGUCCCUCGCUCCAAUUUAGUUUGUCAUGUUCUACAUGUUGAUAGGCGUAUCCUGAUUGGCAUACUUAAGGGAACAAAGUUUGUAAUCUUGUGUGAGUCCUUGAGAUAGAUCACACUAUUAAUGUGAAGAUUGUUCUAGACACUAUUUUUUCUGAACUAACUUUAUAUAUUUUGCACAAUAUAUUUGUAUGAUGGAUAAGCAUCCAUGAAUCAUCAUACUACCUUUUCGUAUGGAGCGGUUGUAUUGUCAUAUGAGUUACUAAUACAAAAACAAUUAUUAGGGCUUUGCGCAGCUUGAUUGAUUCACUCCACAUAGACAUGAACAUUUCUUUUGUAUUUCAUUCGUUAGUUAAUCUAAGUUUUUACAUAUUGUUUCAAAUUGUUCAGAUAGUUUCGUGGUUUCUUUUAUUGAAUUUAUAACCACCAGUAUAGGAAGCUAUUAGUACUAUGAUUGUUGAUACUGAUGCAGAACAAAAAGGGAAGAGAAAGCGAUAAACAGUUGAUUUUGUCUGGUAAUUAUAUAAGUGUCUUUUUUUCUAUUUUCUUGUAAGCAUGGAACGUACAAAAAAGAAAUGAAAUUAGUUCUCCUUCUACACGAUACGUGAAUAAACUAAUUUAGGACCUAUCAUGGCUAACUAAAUGGGAAGCAGCCUGUCGCCAUCAUGCAGCAAAAACAAGCCAUAAUGCCGUACACUUGGCUCAUGCAACAUGCACACGUGAACAAAAGAAGAGCCUAGCUAUUGGUAUAUUUAAAUUUGUUUUCCUUCUCUUAUCCUUGGCGAUAUCAUUCAUACAUAUGUUUGCACCAAAUUAAUUGACUUGUCAAUGUCAUGGACCAGCUAGCAUACUGCUGGUUUUGUUUGUGUGGCUUUAGGUUUUGCGAAUCCUCUACAUAUGUUUUUUUUCAUUCUUUUGCCUUCUACCACUUAUUUUCAGAUUGAUGGAAAGCGAAGUUUCUGAAACAUGGUUACCGAAAAAGGCUUUCGGCCUGCUUUCUGAAACAUGAUUACAUCCUCCUCCAUGCAGCUUUGUGGAGGCUAAUUAUAAUUGGAACUCCUAUUAAUCACACUGGAUGUCAUGCCAGAUUCAUGCAAAAUUUGCCGGAUCGAUUGACCAGGAUUUGACCCUUGGAUUUUUAAUCAUUUACUCCCUCCGUCCGGAAAUACUUGACAUUGAAAUCGAUAAAAAGAGAUGUAUCUAGAACUAAAAUACGUCUAGAUGCAUCCCCUUUUUUCCAUUUUGAUGACAAGUAUUUGCGGAAGGAGUGAGUACGUAGUAAUUUUUGUUGUACAUGGAUUAGUCAAGGUAUAGUCGAUCCACCAUCAUCACUGUGAAUCAGUAUUAUGGAGUCAGAACAUGUCUUUGUCAGAGAACGAAGUAGGAGUAACAAAUGAGACAGGAAAAAGCAAAAGAGACCUCACUCUCACACACUCACUAUCCACCUGCCUCAUGUUAAUGUUGUGUUGAAAUACCUAACUAGCUAGCUAGCAUAUCAUAGGUUGUCCUUCUCUAAAAAAACUAUAGAAAGUUCUUUGCAUGUAGUUAAUUAAGCAAGUGUAAUUUUAAAAGAAAAACUAUUCUGAAGUUGUUGGUCUGUUUGCUGUUGCUAUUGUUUUUGUUGUUCUCGAUACAGGAUUUCGCACUGUUUAUAAAUAAAGCAACAUCCAAAGAUGUACAAGGCCAACUGAUACAAUAUGGUGAGGUAGCCCUUACAAAGCCGAUCUUGAGAUAUCGGACACAAGGAAAAAGCACGCGACUACGCUGCCAGCAACAAGCACCGGAAGAACUAAACAUCCUCACGCUACGAACUAGCACACCAAAGCUCCACGAGAACGCCCCCAAGAGGGAGAACAGCAUAGAGCGUCGCCGCUUCCAAGUCCAUACCGGACAAAGGUCUACACCCGGAGCCCUGACACUGAGAUAAGAAGCACAACGACGUCUUCAAGAAGAGUGUGGCACCCAUGAGUGUCGUCGGCAGCGGCGCCCAGGCAUAGAGCUUUCGCUAGGUAACUCACCUGUGCCACCAUGAGGUCCUCAAGAGUAGCGCCGCGAUGUUCGAUCCCCAGAUCUUGAUUAGGAUGCUGCCCCUCCGAGAGAGAGGGCACGUCUGAGCUACUAACCGCAAUACCUACCGUUGCCCACACAACCCGGGAGGGGAGCCACCAUCACCGGAAUAAUGCCCGCCAAAGAGCAACCAUGCGGCCCGCCAUCAGGGGCCGCCAACCCAGUAUCCCUGUCGCGAGAUACCAUACGCCACUCACAUCACAUAGCAACCAACCACGGUAAGAAGAGCGACAAGACUCCAUCUACUCCUAGCCUAGCCUCUGUCCCAAUGUUUGGUUAUGCGCCUCCACCGUAGGACGCACCCAUACAUGCAUCCCCAGCCAAUGCUCUGUGGACUAGGGGGGCCACUGGCAAGCCAGCCUCGAGCCCCUGGUUAGGCGAUCUCACACGACGCCAUGUUCGUGUUCUCCGACACUGAUCCGCUCAUGAAUGCAACGCUAACACAACCAUCACCACCGAUCACCACCCAAGCUGGCUCACUUCACAAUGCACACAUCAUGGUAGGUAAAGCCUGACAUCAGUCACCUAGCCAGUGACUGCCGACGGCCAUCAUCGAGGCCAGCUCAGACGCCAAGUCUGCGAACUGAGGAACUGGUCCGCAAGCCGGCAUAAUGUAUCCCUGACAACCACAGCCAUGAACCAUCACCGACGCUACAACGUGUGGAGGUGCCUCCCCCAACCUAGCUUCAAGCAUCCAGCUUGGCUUGAUCGGCAGUGACCUAGAGCCAAGAAACACUACUCCAUGACGACUAAGCAUCGAACCUCAUGUGAUGAGAAACCAACCCUGACAAGGACGACCAUAUCAAAAUCCAUGCCCGGUAGCUAGUCUGCCGACGUACGCACCCAGACAAGGCGGGCGCCGCCCCAUCAAGAGGGGNNNNNNNNNNNNNNNNNNNNNNNNNNNNNNNNNNNNNNNNNNNNNNNNNNNNNNNNNNNNNNNNNNNNNNNNNNNNNNNNNNNNNNNNNNNNNNNNNNNNNNNNNNNNNNNNNNNNNNNNNNNNNNNNNNNNNNNNNNNNNNNNNNNNNNNNNNNNNNNNNNNNNNNNNNNNNNNNNNNNNNNNNNNNNNNNNNNNNNNNNNNNNNNNNNNNNNNNNNNNNNNNNNNNNNNNNNNNNNNNNNNNNNNNNNNNNNNNNNNNNNNNNNNNNNNNNNNNNNNNNNNNNNNNNNNNNNNNNNNCAACUCCGGUCACUGGGCAGCUGCACCAAUGCCAACCCCGCCUCUCCAUUGACACCCCCCGCCUAGAUCCACCGCUGCCAGCCAAAACCAUGGCCACCACCCACCGCCCCUUGUCAUGCCUCCACGCGCGUGAGAGGGACUGUCGAAACCCACCAUCGCCAGCUGUCACACUCAGCAGAGAGAGAACCGCCACCAUCACCCGGUGCCGCUUGUCACAACCUGGCAGCCAGAUCCACACUGCCACAACCAUCACAAGCCCGCCUACACAGUAGGAUUUGCUAGCUUUUACAAUGUCUGCACAAUUCUUCUUUCCUGUUUUCUCCAAGAUGUUGUUUUUGAAAUUUGCGUGCAGGUUUAAGGAAAGGAGGAGAUCACUAUCACCACCACCUCGUGGAAGGGGACGUCAGCAUUAGUCAUCUUUACCAUCAUCCAUCGCCAUCCCAUUGUAAUACCAAACCCUUCUGGAUCCAUACAUGUAUUAUCUGUGUGUUUCAUACAUGUUUACCACCACUGUUUCCACUAUUCGCACGAUGUUUGUCGUCUCCAUGUGUGAUUUGUUUCCUCAGUUCUCAGGGAUAUGUACGAACCAUGGUAUUAUAGGAGCUGAAAUGUUAAUUAGGGAAUGGGAUUCUCUAUGUUUAUUUUAAAAGAAUUCAUGAAUUUUGUGAAGGGGCCCCACUGAUCAUUUCCAUCGCGAGGCCACGAGGCAUAUUAUCGAGGUUGUAAAGUUUAGGAUGUUGAGGUCACUUGAGGUGAGAGUAAAAGACUCUCUACCUCACCUUUGCAACUGAUAGGGGCAUAAUAGAGAGCCCUCGAUAAGGCAACUUCCAUGGGGAAACCCUUAAUUACCGUAGUGAGAACUAGAGUGGGGAAGCUACAGUGAUGGCCUGCGGGGUAUGAAGUACACCUCGAGUAGAACAUAUUUUGCACCCGGAUAUGCCCAAUGAAAAAUAUUAAGAGUGACUCAAGUAUCUAGCUAAGAAUUGUGAAGUGGCAUAUGAUACCUUAGACACACUGCAAUGGGAAUUAUGGUGUCCCUGAGAACGUUUCAAUCCUCCACCGUUUAACAUCUUUAUUCGUUCUGCUAUGCUCUUUUAGUUCUUUUGCUAUAUUUACUUUUGUUCGCACUAAACUUAGAAGUCAAUAUAAUCUUCGCCGUUCACUUUUCUUUGUGUCGAAAACUAAGAUGCAGGCACAUUACAAUAAGUGUCUCUUACGGACAAAGUCCAAUUCAUGUAUUCCCUGUGGGAUUUAUACUCAUACUUAAAUAGGUGGAAAAAAACCAUGUGCACUUGCAGAUCAUCAAGCUUUUUCUGGCCCUAGGUGCGGAGUGCUUUUGGGCCUGUAUUACGUUUUAUUUUAUUUUGUGUUUAUGGGUGAUAAUGUGCGCCUCCACAAAUUGUUGUUUGACCGCGGCAAUGGUGGACUCCCUACGUAGGUGUGUAUCGAGUGGAGGGUUGAGGAAGCCCAUUAUGAUUUCAGUUGAUCGUAUGCAAAUUAAGAUUUUUGACUCAAGUUGAGGGGGUCAUUUUCCUUCAAAUUUAGAACCUUGUUUGAUGGGUCAUGAUUUGUGAGAGGAUACUUUUUGUCCUGCUAAGAUUGUUAUUGGAGAUAAUUGGUAGUUAAACUCAUUUUGUGAGUGGAACAUCAAAGGCGAAAAGUGCAUAAGUAAUCAAUUAUUCUCACUAUAAAUGAACAAUGAAAUCUGGGAUGGAGUUUGUCGAAAACAGAAACACCUAGUUUGAUUUAGAUCCAUGUCAGAUAAGAUGGUUGCAAACUCAUGUGGCUCACCAUUGAAGUGUUAAAUUGCAAUUACUCCUUACUUCCUAAUUAAUAGUACUUCAAUUUGAACCAAGUUUCACACACGUGAAGUAUGUUAUAUUGUUCAUAAUACUACACUUUAUAAAUAAGUAGAUAGCGCAUAACAUUGAGGUUGUAGCUAGGGAUGAAAAUCGAAAUAUGGCAUGAAUGUAACAAUUGCCAGCAAUAUGCUUUAGAAAAGAAGUUAUUUGUCUUUUAUUCCCAUGUUUGAACUAGUAUAGGCCGGGGUUACACAUGAUGGUCACAUCACUUUAUUUAUGAUUGUUACAUUAAAUGCUCCAUUGACUAACAACGAUGAUUCACCCGUCUCGUAUUACAUCUCUUCAUUUCAGUCCACCGAUACUUAUAACGUCGCUCCCAGUUGGUUGUUGGUGUGGGGAAGGUUGUUAUGAUUGCUCGGGGAAUGGUUGCUGGUGUGGGUAUGGUAUGGGAAAUUGUUGUUCGAGAAUUGUUGUUUCUGUUGCUAGGGAAAUCAUUGUUGUUGCGAUAAGUAUAUGUUCUUCCAUGAUCUAGAAAAUAAAAGACCUUGCUCUUACCGUCUCUGCAUGUCUGUCAUCAAACAUCAGUAAACUUGUUAAAAUUAAGUGAAAUGGUUCAACUUUUGGAUUACAGUUCUUGACGCCUUGAAGCGAAUUUGAUGAGUCGGGUCACUCUACGAAUUUCACUUCGUCUUAUCACUUUAGAAAACACAACAAAGUUGUUUCCAGAAAAAAAAAUCCAUGUGCAAAGCUUUACUAAUUAUCUUGUACAAACUUCAUAUACUUAGCUCUACACAAACUGUAGAAAGUUCCAAACCUCUGCCGCAAAAAAGAAUGAAACCUUGAUAAGGAUUUGACAUGUAAAGUGAAAAAGGUGAGUCAGUUUUUCCUCAAAAUAAAAUACCAAGCACCAUGCUUUCGUGACAAAUAUACGAUCUUUUGCACAGCUGACCAAACAUCUUUUGAUGAUCAAUACUAUAUUAAACUUGUGGCUAGUGCAACUUGAAAGAAUAUACAAAAUGAUCCAUUUCACAAGCAUGCAUGCAAAAAAAUUGGAAAAUGAAUGAAAAAAUUAACCUCUAGCUGGAAUUUUAUUCAAUCAUCCCAUCAAAGCUGGUACAACAACACUGACUGCAAGAUGUCCACAACCCAACACGUCCAAAACAAAAAUAGAAAAAAAAUGCAAAGACGGCAAGAGGUUAUGCCAUAAAUGGACUUGUGCCGCAUACUCAUCACAAGUACAAAACACAAAUAGAAACAUCAAAGACAUGUAGCAGUAGUCAAGAGAAAUUCACCAUAAAGACACAUCCCCAUCCUUUCCCUUACCGCCAUUGCACCGGCUAGCGCCAAUGAACAUCUCGAUGGCAGCAGGAUCAAUGCCAGUGAAAGGGUUUCACUGACUUCAUCUUGCUGAGGAAGUCCAUGAAAGGAAUCGACAUGAAAGAAAGUGUUUAGUUAGUUCAAAUAUGGAUAUAUAUCCUUAGAGCAUCCUAAUGAAUGAGAAAACCUAUCUUAGUCAUUCAUCAACAAAAGCCAUGUCAAUGCGCUUGGAUGGAUCACACAUUCAGGAACAAAAGGCCAAGGGGGUGACAUAUAUAUACAGUUUAUUUGCUUGGUAACUUUGGUUUAGCACUGUCUUUUUUCCUUAUCCUUGUCCAUUUUAUCCGUGCAGAAAAGAGCCAAACGAGGAAGCAAAGGGAAGUGUUUGAUUAGUUCUCCAUGAAACAAGAAUAAAUGAAUUUCGGACAAAGUAUGGUUGAGCUACGAAAUCCAAAGAUCAACCUAACUGAAUCGGGAAACCUGUCUCCAUCAUGCAGCAGACAAAAGCCAUACUGCUGAUACACUUGGCCCAUGCAACAUGCAUGCAUGAUCAUAAGGAGAACAACCAUUAUUCUCUAAUUUAAACGAUUAUCCGCCUCGCAGUAAACAAGGUCCAGAUAUAAUGUUCAUGCUCAACGCAGGCACUAAAUAACAAUUAUUCAGGUUCAUCACUAAUCCUGAUGGUAAUCGAAGAACGAGCGUGUCGAUGGCGAUAACAUCAACCUUGGAACCAUUUCCCACACGCAUCGUCAUUUCGUUCUUCGCCAGCCUCUGUCUAUUUCGUGGGUCCUGCUUUGUGUUGCAAAUGUGAGCAACCGAACCGGUAUCAAAUACCGAGGCACUACAAGAAGAGUUGGUAAGGUACACAUCGAUAACAUAUAUAUCAUAUAUAUCUUGUUUGGCGUUGGCCCCUUCUUGUCGGCCAGGCUUGGGGCAAUUCCGCUUCCACUGGCUAGUCUCGUUGCAAUAGAAGGACUCAACUUCCAACUUGGGCCCAGCCUUUGGUUUAUUCAAGGGAGGGUCAACUACUUUGCCACUCUUCUUGGAGUUACCAUUCUUUCCCUAGCCAUUCUUCUUGAAACUAGUGGUUUUAUUGACCAUCAACACUUGAUGCUCUUUCUGGAUGUCUAACUCAGCGACUUUCAGCAUCGCAAACAGCUCGGAGACUGACUUGUUCAUCCCUUGCAUGUUAUAGUUUAGCACAAAGCUCUUGUAGCUAGGUGGUAGUGAUUGAAGAACUUUGUCAGUGAUCGCUUCUGGUGGGAGCACAACUCCCAACUCAGCCAGACGGUUGUAAUACCCAGACAUUCUAAGUAUGUGUUCACUGACAGACCCGUUCUCCUCCAUCUUGCAAGCAAAGAACUUAUCAGAGGUCUCAUACCUCUCGAUCCGGGCAUUCCUUUCAAAAAAGAACAUCAACUCCUGGAACAUCUCAUAUGCCCCAUGACGUUCAAAACGUCUUUGAAGUCCCAGUUCUAAGCCAUACAACAUAGCACACUGAACUACUAAGUAGUCAUCCACAUGCACUUGACAGGCGUUCAUAACAUCCAUAGACGCCGGAGGGGGUUGCACACCAAGCGAUGCAUCAAGGACAUAAGCCUUUUGGGAAGCCGUGAGGAUAAUCGUCAGAUUACAGGCCCUGUCUACAAAGAUACUUCCAUCAUCUUUCAGCUCGGCUUUCUCUAGGAACGCAUUGAAAUUCAGGGAAGCUAUUGUGCGAGCCAUUGAUGUACAACAUAAAUUUGCAAAGUUAACUUAGACUAUUGUUCAUGAUAAAUGAGUUCAAAUAAUCAUAUUACUUAAACGACCCACUCAAAUUGACAUCCCUCUGGCCAUCCGAGUGUAAUAUGAUGCAAAUUCAUCAACCCAAGUCCGAUCAUCAUGUGAGAUGAGGUGGUUUCAAUGGUGAACAUCUCCAUGUUGAUCGUAUCUACUAUAUGGCUCAUGUUCGACCUUUCGGUCUCUUGUGUCCCGAGGCCAUGUCUGUACAUGCUAGGUUGGUCCAGUUUAACCCAAGUGUUUUGCAUGUGCAAAACUGGCUUGCACCCGUUGUAUGCGAAUGUAGAGUCUAUCACACCCUAUCAUCACAUGGUGCUUCGAAACGACAAUCUUUAGCAAUAGUGCACACUCGGGAGAACACAAUUUUAUCUUGAAAUUUUAGUGAGGGAUAACCUUAUAAUGCUACCAUCAUCAUAAGCAAAAUAAGAUGCAUAAAAGGAUUAACAUCACAUGCAAAUCAUAAGUAACAUGAUAUGACCACCAACUUGUCCUUUUUAUCUCCAUCUCCAAAGCACCGGCAUGAUCUCCAUCGUCACCGACAUCACACCAUGAUUUCCAUCAUCAUGAUAUCCAUCAUCAUGUUGCCAUCGAUGUUGUCACGCCAACCAUGCUUCUACUACUAUUUCUACCGUUUAGUGAUAAAGUAAAGCAUUACAUAGCGCUUAAUGAUUGACACACAGGUCAUACAAUAAUUUAAGACAACCCUAUGGCUCCUGCCGGUUGUCGUAUUCAUCGACAUGCAAGUCAACACAAACUAUUACAAGCAUGAUCAUCUCAUACAUCAAAUAUGUUCUAUCAUGUCUUUGGCCAUAUCACAUCACAACAUACCCUGCAAAAACAAGUUAGAUGUCGUCUAAUUUGUUGUUGCAUGUUAUACAUGGCUGCUAUGUGUAUCUAACAAGAAUGGUUCUUACCUAUGCCAAACCACAACGGUGAUAUGGAAGUUGCUAUUUAACCUUCUACAAGGACUGCCUUCAUCGAAUUCGAUUCAACUAAGGUGCGAGAGACAGACAUCAGCCAGCCAUCUUAUGCAACAAAGUCACAUGUCUGUCGAAUGAACCGGUCUCAUGUACGUGGACAUGUAAAGUUGGUCCGGGCCGCUUCAUCCCACAAUGCCGCUAAAUCAAGAAAAGACCAAGGAAGGAAGCAAUCUGAAUAUCAACACCGAUAAACUCCUUUGUGUUCUACUCGUGAUGUCAUCUGCUCAUAGACCUAGCUCUGGUACCACUGUUGUUGAACGUUGCAUGGGAAACAAAAAAAAUUCCUACACUCACCAAGAUCAAUCUAGGAGAUGAACAUCUACGAGAGGAGUGAUUGCAUCUACAUACCCUUGUAGAUCACUAACACUACAGGAAACAGGUAAUUUGCCGUCCGUGGAUCACAGACGGCAAAGACGUAAAUCCAGACGGCAAAGAGUUUGCCGUCAGGAAGUAGACGGCAAAGUCAGACGGCAAAGAUAAAUCGGCAAAGAAUACUCUGCCGUCUGCUAUUUUUUCUAGAUGACGGCAAAAACUUUGCCGACAGUCUAUACUGUUUGCCGUCAGCCAGCAAAAUCAAACGACAAAAAAUGGCAACAGACGGAACGGACGGACUGACGAACGGCGUUAGUGCUUUGCUGUCAGCCAGAAUCCAUCUUUGCCGUCAUCCUCAAAAAUCACAAACGGCAAAUAAUUUUUUUAUUUAAAAAAUGUAUUGUACAAAUAAUUGCACAGGCGACCAGGAACAAACUGAUGAAGAACUUCACAGUAUCCAUCAACACUGCUGUUCUAAGAAUCAAAUACGAACGAACGGAUUUCACAAGACAAAACAAAACUACUCUAUUUAACAAGAUAAAUGGAUUACACACGAACAGACUACACUAUGUUACAAUAGAUCAGUUGGAUCUAUACACCCACGCCUCGCUGGAGCAGCAGUUGCGCCUCUCUCCCUUCUCCUUCCUUUCAUCCUGCAUAUGAAGUUAAGAACACACAAACGUCCGAGGAGGCCAAGACGUCAGCUGCCGUGCCGGAGCUCGCCACCCUCAUCCGGGCGCUGGAUCCACUUGACCCCGCCAACUCUGUCAGCGCCAAGCCCCGCCGCCGGCAAAGGAGAGUAGAGGAGGCGGGGGCCCGUGGCGUGCGAAGGCGGGGGAGAAGGAGAGUACUCGGAGGCGGGCGGCUGCUGGUACUCGGAGGCGGGCGGCGUGUGAAGCCAGGCCUCGCGGAUGGGGAGGUGGGGCUGACCGGGCGGCGGCCGUUAGGCGGGGCCAGUUGGCGCAGGGUCGUCGAUGAGGAGGUGGGGCCGACAAGGCGGCGGCGGCGAGGCAGGGCCAUGCAGCGCGGGGUCGCGGAUGGGGAGGCGGGGCCGACCGGGCGGCGGCGGCGAGGCAAGACCAAUCGGCGGCGAUGCAGCACCGAUAGCAGAGAAGACGAGAUCGAGGGGGAGAGAUGGUGUCGGAGUGGGGGAGAGGUGGGUUCGAUGGAUGGGUGGGUGGGGGCAUGGGGAUAAGGUACAUGGGGAUGUGGUGGGAUGGGUGGGUGGGGUCGGGCGUGGUAGAUGGAAAGAGAGGCACCGCAGGUCAGAUCGUGCCAUGUCAUCGAUCCGUGGAUGGAUCCGCGAGGUGUGCUUCUUUGCUUUGCCAUCUGCAAAUACAAACUACAGACGGCAAAAUUCUUUGUCGUGUGCCUUUUUUAUUACAGACGGCAAAAUAUGAUCUUUGUCGUUUGUGUUUAUUUGUACAGACGGCAAAGACAUAUUUUGCAGUCUGUAAUAAAAAACACAGACGACAAAGAUCUUUGCCGUCUAUAGUUUGUUUUGUAGAUGGAAAAGUGAGCUCUUUGCCGUCUAAUUUUUUUCUACAAACGACAAAGUAUAUUUUGCCGAUAGUUUCUCUUUGUUGUCUGUUGAUGACGGCAAACCCUUUCUUUGCCGUGUGCCCCGAAAAAAUGCUGAUGGCAAAGACAAUACUGACGGCAAAUCUCCUGUUUCCCGUAGUGUAAUAGGAAGCGCUAAGAAACAUGGUUGAUGUAGUCAAACAUCUUCACGAUCCAAUCACGAUCCGUCCCACAAACUCCCGAUCUAGUGCCAAAUGGACGGCACCACUGCAUUCAACACGCGCACGACUUGAUGAUGCCUUCACCUCCUCGAUCCAGUGAGCAAUAGAGAAGUAGUAGUUUGAGUAGUCCGAUAGCAUGACAGCGUGGCGGCGGUGGUGGUGAAGGAAUUUCAGCAGAGCUUCGCUAAGCACUACGCGGAAGGAGAAGGACUACGAGGGAGAGGACAGACAGCGCCACGACACAGAUGGGUGUGUCUGCCCUACCUCUACCCCUACAUAUAUAGGGGAAAGCGAGGAGGUGGGAAUGCCCUAUGGGUUCCCUUAGGGGGCACGCCGGCCACCACAGAUGGUGGCGCCCCUAGGGAAACCCGAGGGUGGCUUGCCCCCCAAGCUAGGUGGAGGCAUCCCUAGGGGGUUGCCCCAACCCUUGUGUCAUCAUGGGAUUGGGUGUGGGGGCGCACAACCCCUUAGUGGGCUGGUGUGCUCCCUCCCCUUGGCCCAUGAGGCCCCCCAACACUUAUUGGGGCACCCUGAAACCCAUGUCCGUACUCCGUUGCUUCCAUCGGUACCCCUGGAACAAUUUCAGACUCCGAUACCCUUCGUCCUAUAUAUCAAUCUUCACCUCCAGACCAUUCUGGAGUUCCUCGUCAUGUUGGGGAUCUCAUACGGGACUCCGAACAACCUUCGGUAACCACCAUAAUGACUCAACUAUACUUAUAUCGUCACCAAACAUUAAGUGUGUAGACCCUCCGAGUUCGAGAACUAUGCAGACAUGACCGAGACACCUCUAUGGUCAAUGACCAAUAGCAUGACCUGGAUGCCCAUAUUGGUUCCUACAUAUUGUACGAAGAUCUUUAUUAGUCGAACCUCGAUGUCAAGGAUUCAGUCAAUCCCGUAUGGAGUUCCCUUUAUCCAUCGGUAUGUUAUUUGCCUGAGAUUCGAUCGUCGGUAUAUCCAUACCUAGUUCAAUCUGGUUACCGGCAAGUCUCUUUAUUCCGUAAUACAAGAUCCCGUGCCUAACUUCUUAGUCAUGUUUCUUGCAAGCUUAUUGUGAUGUUGUAUUACCAAGUGGGCCCUAAGAUACCUAUCCAUCAUAUGGAGUGAGAAAUCCCAGUCUCGAUCCAUGCCAACUGAACAGACACCCUUGGAGACACCUGUAGAGCAUCUUUAUAGUCACUUAGUUACAUUGCAACGUUUGAUACACACAAGGUACUCCUCCGGUGUAAGUGAGUUGUAUGAUCUCUUGGUCAUAGGAAUGGAUACUUGACAUGCAGAAUGAUAGCAAUAAACUUGACACGAUCAUAUGCUACAUUCAUAGUUUGGGUCUUGUCAAUCACAUCAUUCUCCUAAUGAUGUUAUCAUGUUAUCAAAUGACAACUCAUGUCCAUGUCCCGGAAACCAUGGCCAUCUUUGAUAACCGAGCUAGUCUGGUAGAGGCUCACUAUGGACACGUUGUUUGCCUAUGUACCCACACAUGUAUUUGAGUUUCCAAUCAAUACAAUUAUAGCAUGGAUAAUAAAUGAUUAUCAUGAACAAGGAAAUAUAAUAAUAACCAUUUUAUUAUUGCUUCCAGGGCGUAUUUCCAACACUUUCGAUGAUUUGUGAGUAGUUUACGACAACCCUUCGAGUCUAUAGCUAGAAUCUAGAUGGCUUCUUCUCUCUCUUUGAUCUUCAAUCCAAAGUUCUUCUCAAUGUUCUUGGAGUUCUAUCCAAUGUAAUCUUCUUUUGCGGUGUGUUUGCUGGGAUCUGAUAAAUUAUGAGAUUAUGAUCAGAUGAUUCAUGAGAAUAUUUGAGUCUUCUCUGAACUCUUUUAUGCGUGAUUAUUUUAGCUUUGUAUUUCUCUCCAAUCUAUCGAUUUGGUUUGGCCAACUAGAUUUGUUUAUCUUGCAAUGGGAGAGGUGCUUUGUGAUUGGUUAAAUCCUGUGUUGCUCAAUCCUAGUGACAGAAACGGACAUGGCACAUAUUUGUAUUGUUGACAUUAAGGAUAAAAAGAUGGGGGUUAAUCAUAUUGCUUGAAUUUACUUUGUCUACAUCAUGUCAUCUUGCUUAAGGCAUAACUCUAUUUUAUACCUAAAACUCUAGAUGCAUGCUGUAUAGCAGUCGAUGAGUGAAGUAUAGUAAUAGAUCACUACAAAAAAAGACACUUUUGGGCCGAUCAAAUUUUUUUUGUGUCAUACAUAUGACACUUCUAUGACGAUAAUUGUGACAAAACCCGGUAUCAUCAUAGAUGGUGGGCUCCUACUUCUAUGACAAAAAAUCAUGACAGCAAAUGGGCUUUUCAUCCUGGGCGGCCGGAGACGCAGCUACAUGACAUUCUUUGGGCCGUCCAUGACGGAAAAAACCAUGGUAGAAGCGAGGGCGGGGAAAAAUUCGGGGAGUUCCCGGUUACGGUGGGAGGUCGGAGGCCGAGCGAUGUGCGUUUCUCUUGUACACGUAUGCGCAUGUGUGCGAGGGGUUGGCUCUAACUGAACCCGAGCGAGGCGUUGGCUCUAACUGAACCCGAGCGAUUGCACUACAAGCUACACUUUACUGAACCCGAGGGAUCGAUCGAUGGUUGUUAACUGAACCCGACCGAGCGAUUGCUUCACUACUGCUGCUAACUGAAGUCGAUCGAUUGGAUGAACAGUGAGUGUUGCAGGGGGGGUGGAUGAACAGUGAGCGGUGGUGUUGCCUUUGGAUGAACAGGACCCCGUUGUGUGGAGGGCUGGAUGAACAAUAGACGAUGGAGGGGUGCCCAUGGAGGGGUGGAUGAACAGGACCCCAUGGUGUGGAGGGCUGGAUGUACAGUAGACGGUGGAGGGGUACCCGUGGAGGGGUGGAUGAAUAGGACCCCGUGGUGUGGAGGGCUGGAUGAACAGUAGAUGGUGGAGGGGUGACCGUGGAGGGGUGGUGGAACAGUAGCCGGUGGAGUAGCGCACGGUGGAGGCUGGAUGAACAGGAGCCCGUGGAGGCCGGAGGAGGUCGACGGUAGCCCGUGGAGGCUGGAGGAGGUCGACGGUGGAGAUGACCAGUAUCCCGUGGAGUCCCAUUUUGCGGUACGCCACACCCCUCCCGAUGAACAGGAUCCCCUUUUCUACUGUAGCGCUCCAACACAAGUCUAUUUUGUCCGUUUUGCGAUACGCCACAACCCUCCCGAUCAACAGGACCCCCGUUUCGACCUUAGGAGGUUCAUUUCCUCCGUUUUGCGGUACGCCACACCCCUCCCGAUCAAUAGGACCCCCGUUUUAACCAUAGGAGGUCCGUUUCCUCCGUUUUGCGGUACGCCAGACCCCUCCCGAUGAACAAGAUCUCGUUUCGAACGUGUCCGGUCGAACACAAGGCCGUUUCCAUCGUUCUGCGGUAUGCCAGGCCUCGUUUCCAUCUCCUGUUCCGUCCAAGCCCUCUCGAUGAACACGACCACACAUUCCGUUCUGACCGAGCUGGUGGGCUCCCUAUGAACACGAUGACGACGCUAUUUCUCCGUUCCGACCCAGCCAAUGUACACGAGCCCUGGACGUACGUAUAUAUGCGCGAGUAGGCAUUCGAGACCCCGCCCGUAUGUACACAUACGUGGCCGUAUUUUAUUUCUUACACCCCGGCCGCUGUACGUACGUGUACAUGCUAUGUGCGCGCCUCUACUACGACACGUGCGCGCCUCUACAUCCACCAAUAUAUAUGUACAUACACAUUCGCGACCAGAAUGACAAUGCUACAUACGCUUUGACCAGGUGGGUCCGGACUGUCAGGCACUUCCUUGCGUGCAAAGAUGUAGCUGGUGGGUCCCAACAGUCAGGGGGAAACAUUUUUUCGUGAAAUACGGUGGCCUGUCCGGUGGGUCCUUGCUGUCAGGUGGAGGAAUAAUUAUUUUGCACUUAAUAAGGAGGCACUUCCUUGCUGCGGCCGUGGACCCAGCUGUCAGCCUCUCCACGUACAGUUCACGUCCGAUGGAAGCCGUUCCUUGACCAUGUUGACCACGCCGCGCCGAGAGCACCAGGGCGGUGGACGACGGCGAGGCCUAGGAAGGGGACGACGCGGAGCCGGGGAAGACGCGGCAGUGGAUGCCCACGCGUAGAGAAGUAUGAGGGUUCACUCGUUCGCUGCGGUGUGAGGUUGCCGUCGCCGCAGAAUAACAGGGGGUGUGGGUGAGUAGAGGGAUGGCCUGGCCAGCAGUGGGAGUAGUAGGGGGCGGUGAGGCAUCCGCGGCAUCACAGCCGGCCACGGGAGGCAGGAGCAUGCGGCACGACCGACGCUGCUUUGGGCGGCUGGAGCACGAAGACCAGAGGUUGAAGAAGCACUACGACCGUUGGAUGGACAUCGUACGGUCACUGGAGCUAGAAUCGUUCAUAUUGACUAAGUUGACAAAGCCCUCCGUCCCCGUAAACUUAGUAGGCCCACAAGUCAGCCUCCCACCAAGGUGAGUCCCAGCUAGCAGGGUGAGUAUUCAUUUUUUGUGCGUAAUAAGGAGCAUUUCCAGUGGGUCCGAGCUGACAGCGAGCGGAACGUUUUUUUCGCGAAAUAUAGAGACCGUUCCGGUGGGUCCCAGCUAUCAGGUGGAGGAAUCAUUAUUUUGCGCAUAAUAAGGAGGCAUUUUCCUAUGUGGGCCCCUACUGUCAGCCUCUUCCGAUGGCUGUUGUUUGUUGACCAUGUUGACCUCGCCGCGUCGAGAGCACAAACGUGGUGGACGAGGGCGAGGCCCAGGAAGAGAACCACGCGGAGCCGGCAAAGCCACCACAGCGGAUGCCCACGCUGAGGGGAGAACGAGCGCUUAUUGGUCGGCUGCGGGGUGAGGCUGACAUCGUCGGAAAAUAACAAGAUGUGUGGGUGGUUGCAGGGAUGGCCUGGCGGCAGGAUAGUCAGCCACGGGAGGAGGGACCAGGUAGUCCCACUGGCGCUGGUUUGGGCGGCUGGGGCAAGAAGAUCAGAGAUUGAAAAAGUAUGACGGCCGUUGGAUGGAAAUCCAACAGUCACUGCUGUGUGUUGACUAAGUUGACAAAGCCUUGCGUACGCGUCAAAAAAAAUUUAGGACAGUGUCAUCGUCAACCUGGUCAUUGACAAAGCCAUAUUCUUUUUAUUAGCAUUACAGACCAUAUAUUCUGGGCACUGCUCAAAAAUUGAACGAAAUUUUGCAUAUUUCGGUGGGGUCCGAAGUCUUUUAAUCACGAAAUUUCGAGUCAUGUUAAAAAUAAUUUUCAAAAAAUUAUAUCAAUAUAAAAUUCAAAAAACAAUUCUCCGCAAAAAAAAUGAAUGAAAUUUAGAAUAUUAACUAGCAAGAUGCCCGUUCGUUGCACAGAACAUGAAGAUGCAUUUGUGUGAGUAGUUUAUCUUGUGGGAGAAAAGAUGGUAUUUUAAUGUAAUUGCCAGUUGGCUUUGGUUUUUAUAAUAGUAGAGAGUCGAGAAAUCCUGAAAAAAAUAAUAUUUUAAUGCAAUUGCCGGUUUGCUUUGGUUUAAAAAUUUACAAGCUUAUAGCCCAUUUUCUGGGGAAGCCCAUUUCUUACUACUUACAUCCCUCCUCGUCUUGAAAGAUUUGCAGCCCAGCAGGGCUGAGAAAAGCAAGUAGGCCGCGCUUUGUUAUUCUUCAAAAAAAGAACUGGGCUAGCCAAUUUCAGAAAGAAAAAAUAUAUCAACUGGGCUCGUCAUGUGUUUAAUAAAAGUGUAAGCAUGGUCUAGACGGGGCACAGCCCCCGCACAACACGCAGUUGAGCUCCGUCUCUGAAACUGAAAAACAACUGGGAGAGCUGCUGGGUCCCUGGUGUUAUCCGCUCGUUGUGUAAUUUUCUCGUUUAUUGACUACAUUGACAAUGGCCUGGAACCUAGUUGUCAAACAAUUAGGAGGAAGUAUUUUUUUGGCUUGUAAUAACGAGGCACCUGCUUGCGAAAUGCAAUGACCCUGGUGGGUCCCUACUGUCAGCCUCUCCACGUACAGUCAUCUCUUGAUUCCUCUUGGUUGUUGACCAUGUUGACAACACCAGACGGCGGCGGGCACAGCGAGCUAACCAAGGCGAAGAACGAUGGCAAGGCCUCAGACGGGAACGAACAGCAGCAAUGGAAGAUGCGACAGUGUAGUGGCAAGUGGAGGGGAGUACGAGGGCAACAACAUGCAAGUCAAGCAUACAAAUGGUACAAAAAGCCCAAGGAUUAAUUGUUCAUCAAAUUUUUAGACAAAACCCAGAUUGAACAUGACAGUAACAUCUAACCCAACAACUCUUUUUUGCAGUCACAAACAAAUGGAUCAGUCUGAUCCAUAAAAUCAACAUCCUGUGCAAUUUUUUUUAUUUCAGGAUGUCUACAACUUAUUGUAAAUAGAAGCCGAGAACUUUUAGAAGCCCAUUUGUCCACCUGAAACUUCUUUUUUUGCUGUUCAAUAUGUUCGUCCGUGAGAAAUCUCUUGCUGUAAAAAUUAAGCCUCAUGGACAAUAGUAACCUCGCAUUCAACAGGAAGAAUGUGACAAAGCUUCUGUUUGCCUGGUUGGAUGCAUAUCGUCCCAUCAUUAUUGUCCUCAAACGAAUGUCAUGAGAACUGAGAAAAUCCUUGUGCUUAUUACGCCAACCAUUGGUUACAUGUUUUUAUCCAUGUGGUUCUGCCUAAGUAGACAUGAAGAUUGAAAACAGUUAAGGUCUGAAAAAAGAGUAAGUCGAAAUAAUGGCAGCUAAACAGUUAAUUCUAGUACAAUAUAUACGACUUUCAAUAUGCAUGAAAUCGUCACCUCUAUGUAUAAAUUCUCCAGAGAUCAAAAGCAUAGCAGCAAGCCAAUAAUUAUGUCCAAAUCAAAACUAUACAUACUAAUAUAUAUGAUCUUGACAGAAUCCAGCAGUAUUGAUAGGCUGUCAAUGGACGAACUCUUCAUUGAGCAUAUAACAUAAUAUUAGUACCCAAAGUGUACUCCAAGAUUAUAUAAAACUUAUGCGCACAAAUGAAAAAUGCAGCAUAUGAUUACAAAUGUGUAGAUGAUAAUAUACGGUACCUGAAAAAGUGAGGAUCCAAACACCCACUCCUUGUCAUUAUUAAACGGGUCAUGAAUUACACCCAAGGUCUCCAGUUUGGGCGCAGAGACGAUAGUUAUUUCUGAAGGUGUAUAACAAUUACGAAGGAGCAACCUUUCAAGUGAAGGGGCAUCUUCGAUGAUGAGUCGUUGUCCUUUAAAACAAAUUCCAAUGCUUUUAAGGUGAGGCGACUUUAUUUGGAGACAACUGAUACCGAUUUCUAUUCCCAAAACAAUCAGCAAGCGUUCCAGGGCAGGGAAACUAGAGUGGAUGAUGUUGUGCAGUGAGGCCACUGACAGAUAAACCACCACAAGCGAAAGUUCUUUUAUUAGUGGGAGUCGAAGCAUUUGUACCAGAUCGUCUGGUAGAUGGCAUCGGGCAAAGGUGGCGGUGUGGAGAGAGGAGGAAAACUGCAAGAUGGAGAACGGUGGUGUGGGCACAAAUUCUUGGUAUGUUCGUGGUAUGAAACUUUCAUGGUAAUGGUAGAACUAAAACUGCUGGAGUUUUACGAAUUUAGGGGAUGUCAGCCAAGCAUCCACCUUGCCGGGUAUGGACAGCAUGUAGCUUGUCGGGAUGCCGAUGCAUUGAACGGGGCCUUGCUGGUGAGAAGAGACGAUGGCUCUGAGGAGAUCAAAUUCAGGAAGGACAGAUAUCUGACGACAUUCGAGAUUGAGGGGCGCGGUGCGCCAUAGAAGGUGCCACCAAGUUGUGAGGACUUGUGUGCGGCAGCAAUCCUUGGUGGGGAGAAGCGAGAUGAUCUCCUCAAGGAUGACGCCCGGGAGAUCGCUGAUGCGGUCCAUCGGAGAGUCUACAGGUUCCUCAGAUCCGGGUGGGGGGGGGGCUCGCCGCUUCUCCCCGGCGCUAACGGGUGCGGGAUCUACAACCGGCGUUGCUGCUAGCGGGAGCCUCGUCUUCUUGGCGCUGGGGCCAGCCAACUCCAUUUUCCUUGUGGGCGUCGCGCCGAGCUCACGGGUUUGAGCAGAGUAGCCAGAGACGAGCCUAGUGGUAGUGCGAGUGGGGAAGAAGGAGGGCUGGGGAUUUCUGUAGGAGUGGAAGAAGAGGAGCAGGCGUUUUCUGUACGAGUGAGGAAGAAGGUGAGCGGGGUUUUCUGGACGAGUGAGGAAGAUUGGGGAGCGGGGGGAAUUGGGUGGGGAGACGAAGCGGGAGAGCGAGCUGUUCGUGUUUAUAAGGCCCGCUACACUAACUACUCGCUUUUUUCCAAGGCCCGCUCUCUUCUUUUGUGUUGCUGCAUUGGAGCUGGCGCAUGGGCUUGGCUGACUGGCCAUGCAUGUAGGAUGCAUGUGCCCGCCGACCACUGCAUGCAUCUGGUUUGUUACUAGGCCUAUUUAAUAGGGUGGUAAUGGAGUAAAUUAAGGAGAUUUAUUUUCUCUGUGUGCGUCCACCAAAUUAGAGGAUGCGGUACUGGAUGCAGACACUCAGAUUAAACUAACAUUUAGAAGAAAAAAAGUUCAGCAUGUCUAUGCAUCUCAAUGAUUCACCAUACUAUAACCAAUAUACAAAGCUGUGAGAAGGUGUGGAAAUAAAGAAAAUCGGUUGAUGCUUCUCUGAGCAAAGGGCCUCCCCGCGCACGCGUUAAUUUCCUGGGCAUGCUUGUUUCUUCUCAAUGUUGCGAGCACUUUGAGCAUGUUGGCAACUCCACAGUUAGCUAGCUGCCUCAUCUUGCAAUUGAUGCUGACACAUUUGCAAAAAACACAUGAGGCAAUAGAGAUGACUCAACAUGGGUCCAUAUUGUGCAGUUCCCCUGAUAUCAUAUUCAUUGUCCUGAAUCUGAAAAGAUAGGAAAACAGUAGCUAUACUUAAACGGGGUUGCAAAAAAGUAGCACAUAUCAAUAGCUCGACAUGACAAAACACGAUCAUCUGGAUGAAGGGGAUACUGACCUGCCUGAGGAAGAUUACAUAUAAUUUCAUAAGUCCUUGGUUGAUUUCCACCUUGGGCUGCACUGCUUGUUUGCUCCUCCACACAUGUCAGGAUCGUUCCGCACUGCAUUCAGCAAGUCAACGUACGAAUAAGCUAAUUUCAUCUUGCGGUAGUCAUUGUACCUAGUUACGAAUGUAGGAAUACCUGGAGUACCAUGAGGUUAGCUGACAGCAGGUAGAUGCAGCCAUAUAAAUUUUGUGCGGUGCUACCAAAAUUGAGGUUUGUAUCCCUUCCCGUUAUGAGAAUUCUUCUUGAAGUUGGUAGAAUGUGACGGCUUGUUCUUUGCAUCAAACUUGCCUUUCCCCUGAGAUUUGUUCUUGUUGUUUUGGGGCUGGUUGGGCUGGAAGUUCUUCUCGUGUACCAUGUGGGCACUAGAAGCUCCCUUAGCGACCCGAGCACGUGUGUCAUUUGCUCUCGCCUUCUCCUCAAAAUGAAGAGUGCUAAUGAGAUCCAAAAAGGAAAACUCAUGUCUCUUGUUUUUCAGAGAAGUAGCAAAAUCGUUCCACGAAGGUGGAAGCUUGGCAAUGAUGUUCCCAGCAAAAAAUUUGUCUGGCAACACACACUUAAAGUACUCAAGUUCCUUAGAGAGAGACUGUAUCUCAUGACUCUGCUGAACAACAGAGCGCUCAUCAGUCAUCUUGUAGUCACAUAAUUGCUCCAUGAUGUACAACUCGUUGCCAGCGCCAGAGGGCCCAAACGUGGCCUCGAGCGGAGCCCACAUGUCUUUGCCGCUGUCAAACGACCGAUAGAAUUGAAAACAGGGAUGAAGUGUGUGGCUGCGCGAUCGAUAAAGAGUGCCAUAAUAUUUGUGUUUGCCCACGUCAAAGAUACAGGGCGGCUGGCCUACUGGAAUUUGAGAGGGCAGAGGUGACUUCUCCGUGGCAUGGAUACCUACCUACAACGUUCGACUAUCGGUGUGUGUGGGUGGGGGGGUAGAGACCGGUCAACUAGUAUAUGUGUGGGGAAGGAGAAAGACCUAGCUAUGUAUUGAGGGAGAUCAAUCGACAUCCGUGUAUAUGUGUAGUAGAGGAAUAACGUUGGGAAAAAGACAAAGGUAGAGCGUCGGAGGGUUGGUGGUGGAGUGGCGUCUCACAAAUGGUGGGAGAGGCCUGCUAGACAAACGGAGGGUAUGAGUGCAAUAUCAAUAAGACAGGGCGGGGGAUGUCUGUCUGUCUAUGCAUGUGCGUGUGAGAGACGGGUCGGGAGGUAUUCAAGGAUGAUGAGGGGAGAAGAUAUGGUUGUGGUAAGCAUGCGUAACUACACAGGAAGAUCAACUGUCGUGUGUCCGAGAAAAGGAGUGACAUAACUAGCGAGGUAAGUGUGUCGGUGCUUGGUGAAAACAAAUUAUAGUUGACCCGGCUAUAUGUAGGGAGAGCAGUUCAUAUACACGCUUGCAUGUGUUAGAAGCAAAUAAGGUUCGGAGAGGCAGACAGGGGGAGAGGGUGUGGCUAGGAGGUGGUGCGAGAGGCCUACCUUGUCGAGGGGGGAGGAGUGUGCGAGCAUGUGAUAAAUGAAAAGAGGGGCGGGAGUGUGCACCUGUGUGGAAUCGUAUUGGACAUAUGGGGGCAUGGACGGUGAGAAGAGAAGAGGGGAAGUAUAUAUGUCUUUGUUGUAGGCACACUUGGCUAGAGAGGUAUAUCGACCGGUGUGUGCUAGAAAGGAGCCGGGGGCCUACAGACACCGCUAGUGGACAACCUAAAGAGAAAUAAUGAACGUGCGCGAUGGAGGGGACGCUAAGGGUGUGUGAGGGGGCGGGCGCGUGCAUGCACGAUAGAAAGUUAGCGCUAGCUAGCUACAAAUAGAAGAGGAUCAUGAAGGUGUAAAAGACGAACAAAGAUCAUAAUUCAUUAUAAAAAAGUGGAUAUGGAUACUUGAAGAAUAUAUCAUAAUGUAGAACAUUGAUUAUAAUUUGGGCUAAUGUGUGGCUUUUGUAACUCAGGUCUAAAUACUCGGGUCGAUAUAUGUAGGGAGAUCAGUUCAUAUACACGCCUGCAUGUGUUAGAAGCAAAUAAGGUCCGGAGAGGCAGACAGGGGGAGAGUGUGUGGCUAGGAGGUGGUGCGAGAGGCCUACCAUGUCGAGGGGGGAGGAGUGUGCGAGCAUGUGACUAAUGAAAAGAGGGGCGGGAGUGUGCACCUGCGUGGAAUCGUAUUGGACAUGUGGGGGCAUGGACGGUGAGAAGAGAAGAGGGGAAGUAUAUAUGUGUUUGUUGUAGGCACAUUUGGCUAGGGAGGUAUAUCGACCGUGUGUGCCAGAAAGAAGGAAACGGGGGCCUACACACACCGCUGGUGGACGACCUAAAGAGAAAUAAUGAACGUGCACGAUGGAGGGGACGCUAAGGGUGUGUGAGGGGGGCGGGCGUGUGCAUGCAUGAUAGAAAGUUAGCGCUAGCUAGCUACAAAUAUAAGAGGAUCGUGAAGGUGUAAAAGACGAACAAAGAUCAUAAUUCAUUAUAAAAAGAUGGAUACAGAUACUUGAAGAAGAUAUCAUAAUGUACAACAUUGAUUAUAAUUUGGGCUAAUGUGUGGCUUUUGCAAGUCAGGUCUAAAUACUUGUCAUAAUGUAGGGGGCGGGGCACUAUACUUUGUGUGAUAAACACGGUGUACGUAUGGAAGAUGGUUUAGAUUAUGAAUAUAUAGUUAGUACAUCAAAUGUACUAUUAUUUGGAAUCAACAUCAAGUGUAUUCAAAAAAUAGAAUUCGAGUUCAUGUAGUACACAUAGUUCAUAUCUAUCUCUAUAGUAAUGAUGUGGUGUGUUAUUAAGGUAAUACACAAAUGAUGGUUCAAGUUGGCAACAAUCAUGAUUGCAGAUACUUAUUGAAAUAGAGAACGAAUUCAAAUUUAGUUCGAAUUGCAGCGGUAGUAUAGACAUUUGGAAUGCACUAAAAUGUUGGUAUGAGUAGGUUACAUGCAUUAUCCAGCAAGCGAACAAAAUUAAUCGGACAUAACAUCGAUUCAUACUCCCUCCUUCCAUCUAUAUAGGGCGUAAUGAGAUUUUUAAGACCGCCUUUGACUAUUGACAGGAUUAAUAGUACAUGACAUGCACAAUGUGAAAAUUAUAUCAUUGAAAGAACCUUUCACCGACGAAUUUAACGGUGUGCUUUGUGUAAGUUGCAUGUCAUAUAUCAUUGUUCUAAUAUUUGGUCAAAGUUAGCAUCGAAAAACGCAUUAGGCCCUAUAUAGAUGGAAGGAGGGAGUAGCUUUGAAUAGGAUUUGUAUAGUAAGACGGGGCAAGACUCUCUCUUUGUGUGGUGUGAAUAGUUUUUUUUUCAUUUUCUUUUUGGUUGAGGGAAGUGCGAAUUGAUUUGGUACGUACAAGUACAAUAUUACUAAACGUUAGGCUUGUCCCUAAAAUUCAACUCGCGUCUUGUUAUAUCUCGAAAAUUCAAAUAUCGUGCUCUCAAAACUAGCGCUUUCACAACCCGCGCCUUGCUAUCCCGAAAUUAUAACGCGUGCAAAAACUCCCUCCAGCUGCCAAAUCCCGACACACGAAAUCCCCCUUCUAAACCUGAGCCAAAAGGGCCACUAGUUCAAAUCGGUGGGGAGUACUUUUGUAACACACCCUACAUUUUGGACAAGCGCGUCCCUAAGUCAUGCUUCACCCCCUCCCAUCACCCCCUUUUCGCCAUUCGAAAUCCCAGGCCCCAUAACCUCUCCGCUUCAGCCGCGAAACCCCACACUCCUCCGUCCGCCACGUCACCGCUGCCCAGCCGGAGCCUCUUCCCCGAUGACAUUGUCCACCGCAACAGCUCGACGUGCCUCGUCCACCUCCCCGGAUGAGGAUCCGACGUCCAUCUCGCCGUCCCGCUGGUUCAGCCGCCCCGUCCUCCACCUCCAGGGAGAUGCUCCAACGAUCGCCUCGUCUAUCGUGGCUGCUCCAUCCCCACAGUGCCGCCUUAACCUGCUCCAUCGGAACCGCAGCAUCCUCACCGACUCCUCGGACGAAGCCGAGGCCUACUCGGCAACACCAAAGAGGUUGUACACUGAUUGCAUCGCACCUUCUCCUUAACUCGACCUCCCGGCGCCGACAGUGCUCCAUCCAGCACCCCCAUGGAGCGGCUAUCUUGAAGCCGGCGCCGCGGGCGACAUCUCCACGGCGGCUCUCCCCCAGUGCAAGGCCCCUUCGGCGGCUGCGUCCAUACCAGCCGGAUCUGCUGCUGCUGCUCCGGCUCUCACUUGCUCGCUCGCGCUGCCGCUGCUCCGACUCUCGCUCCAUCGCUUGCUCGCCCAGCUGCUGCUGCUGCUCCCCCCUUGCUCAUGUUGCUGCUCUGCUCCGAUUAAGACACACUUCAGUCGACUGAAUCGACUUUUGGGUCAGUCGAUUUUCAGGGGUUGGAGGGGCUCGCCAGAGUUAAGGAAGAACCACCCGCAGCGGGGACGGGGGCCGCCGGAGAGGUACCCCACUAUCUUUCUUAGGGUUCAGGGCGGGGGGUGGGGACCUAUAGGGUUGGCCAAGGCGGCGGUGGCGAGUUGCUUCGGGGCGGCGAGGCGACGCUGGGGCCGGCGGUUCGGCCGGUGGUGGCUGGUGGCUCAGGGGGGGGUGCAGGUUGAAGAUGAACUGCAGGCCCUCCCUAAACUACAUGUCAAGUGCCUCUCUGCUACCAUUGCGUUCAGUUUCGACAGUAGCAUUCAGAUUCCACAAUAAAUUUCAGUUUUGACAGUUAAGUUCAGAGUCAACAGUUUUUACCUCAUCUGUUGUAGUUAGGUGGUUUUUGGUGAUGUUAAUUUUACAUCCAUUUUUCAUCAUCUACUGGAGAUGCUAUUAGAAUCCCACUUGAGAUUGACGAUGUCUGUUUUGUGCUGCUUCAGCAUUGACGUCCUAUGGCUAACCGGAGCUGCUCCAACAACAGAACGAUCCAUCACAAUAGAGCAGUGCCCUGGACACCGUCUAUAGAUUCCUCAGAUCUUCCUCCACACCUCCGAUAGCCACCUCUGCCUCAACUGCUUCAGUGACCGACCCAAUGAUGCUGAGGUCGACACGGCUACGGCAAAGAGGUUGUACACUUGUUGCAUCACUUAUUACUAUACAUUCACGUCGAUCCAUUAGGGCUAUUUUGAUUCAAAGGAAAAACAUAGCAAUAGGGAAUUUUCCAAUGGCACUCUACUAUUCAAUUAUUCAUGCAUUUUGUUGAAAGUAAUGAAGCAAAACAUCCACCUAGACCUACUUUUCAAAAUCCUAUGCAUGAAAACAAGACCAAGUGCAUUAGUGCCAGAAUAACAUUCUAACUGUACACGCUUUCAUAUGGUUUCACUUUAUUUUGGCGAGGUUUCUUUGCAUUCCUCUGCUCUUCCAAUUCUUGUAAACCAAACACCCAAGUUGACAGAAAUCCUGUGUUUACAAAUGCUCCAUUUACCAUGUGCAUUUUCCUGUCCUAUUCCGGUGUUUUUCCUAUCCCUGCACUUUAAGAAUCAUGCAAGCUAAAUCAGCUCUUGCAGAAUUACUUCAGUUACAGGUACGUGUCGAAGGGAACUUUGUGUGGUUUGUCCUGCUCCUGCCGCGAUGUCGUCCACCUCACCUGAGCUGCUCCAUCGACAGAGGCAUCCGCCAAACCAUACAUCACGACCCCUGUCCGUCUUUCGCCGCCUCAAAUCUCCUUCCCUGCCGCUGGCACCCACCACAACGACAUCAGCAUCAUCGACUCAGCAGAUGAACCUGAGGAGUACACGGGUCCACAAGAGAGGUCGCACUCUUUUGUUUCUGCUUAUGUUAUGCAUUUCUUAAACUUACCUGCUACUUUAUCGUCCUGUUCAGCUCUUGGACUCCCAAGUCAGGUCCAAAUUAAUACUCAAACUUGAGUUCUAAAUUAGUUGUGGGGCAAAUAUCGAGGCAACAAUCAAUAGUAUGUCCGUCUAAUAUCUGGUUCACCUAGGGUAUGCUAUGUUGUUCAUCUUGGGUGGGAAAUAAAUAGUAAAGCAAUCAUCAUUUGUCUUUUUAUUAAUUUAAAGCAAUCAUCAACCUGCUAUCAUUAUUUUUGGAUCCAUCCACUGGUUAUUACAAUCACUCUAAAUUUCUGCAUGCUCUCCUUACAUAAUCUCACCAUAGUUUUUCAUAUGCAUGUCAAAUAUUGUACACAGUCAUGUUGAACAUGUAGAGAAAUAGAGAAGAGUUUUACGCGGCAAUACAAUGUCAUGCAGACAUCGGUCCAUUGUGGGUUCAAUGGCAAACCCUCCCCACCCCUCUCCAGAUUGUAAUCCAGAGGAAGAUAUCUGUUCUGAGGCGGAUUCGGACGCCGCUGACCACUCCUAUUUACCCCCCAAGGUGUUUGCUCUACCUUGGCAUGAUAAAGUUAGUCAUAUCAUGCAUAUGUUGCCUUGCAGUGCCUACUUUUGACAUCAUAUAUGUCAUCUGCUUAGUUUAGACAUGUUCGGUAAUGCCACCUGUUUAGUUUCUAUAUCAUAUAUGGGAAUUAUGCAGUCUCAUGUCUUUUAGCCAGCCAUAAUAUAUGUGAAAUGUGCAAUGCCAUCGUGUUUAACCAGGAAUCAUAUAUUUGAAUGAUAUCUUGCCCAUCCUUUUCUUCAUUACAUUUCCAUUUGUCGACAAUGUUUGUACAUUAAACUACUCUUCCUGUGAACCAGCCAUUUGGGUGGGAGAUGGCAACAUCUGGUGUGAAAACAAGGCCUUCAGAGCAAACAGUGCUACCUGUCGAAGCAGAUCUCUUAUUGGGUCCGAUAGCUCCUCAGAGAUGGAUUUAGAGACAGAUGACCAGUCCUAUUCCCCCACUGAGGUGUAUGCUCUAACUUGGCAUGGUUAUACUGCUCAUAUCAUGCAUAUGGUGUCUUGCAUUGCAUAGUUUAGACAUCCUAUACACAAUAUUCAACACAAUGUUCUUAGUUCAGACAUCAUAUCGAAUGCCCUCUGUUUAGCAUAUAGAUCACAUAGUGAAUUAAAUGAUGCGAUCCUGAUUACUUAGAUAACAUGUAGGUGAAUUAUGUCAUGCGAUCCUAUUUAGUUAUUCGUCAUAUCUUUGAAUUAUGUUAUGCUAUGCUAUCCAGUUUAGAUAGACAUCAUAUAUGUGAAAUCAUGUCAUGCUAUCCAUUUUAGUUAAACAAUAUACAUGUCAACUUUUUCAUGCCCUCUAUUUUCCACACUAUCUAUUGCAUCUGUCUCUCAUACAAUGUCUGUACAUUCAACUAUGUUUCCUGUUUAUCAGCCAUUUGAAUUGGAGUGGGUGAUGCCAGUAUAUAGCGGACUAAAAACACGGUCUUCAAAUAAAACAAUGCUACCUCUUAGUGGAGAUAGCACCCCGGUUGUACAUGCACAAGAACCAGCCCUACCACACAUAACCCAAACUCUCGCAGAUUGUACCCCUACUGCGAUGGACAGAGAACCAGCUUCACCCAAUCUAACCCCAACCCCAGCCGAUAGUAACCCAGUUCCUGUUGACACAGCACCAUCUCCACCACAGAGCUCCCAAACAAGAGCAGUUAGUAAGGCAGCUCCAGUGCCCAAAGGGCCACUACUAUCAUGGCGAACCCCAACUCCACCAGUUAGUACGCCUAUUCCCGUGGAGGAAGCACAACCAGCUAGCCGUAGUUUAGCAUCUAUCGCAUUUGAUGUUGUUAAAUCGUAUGUGUGUAUCUUCCCAUCUUGGAAAUAUUAUACUGAAGAUGAAGGAAAAUGCCAGUUGUAGGUGUUUGUCCUGGAGUUAUGUGUAAGUAAUGUUAUUCAUGGCAGUUACUUUGCUUCGUCCCAUACAUACUACCUCCAUGAUGGUUAUAAUACAACAAAUUUUCCCAUUUUUCUCUAUAGAGAAGGACCGAUUUGGAAACUCAGGAUGAGGUAACCUGUGCUAAUACCUCUGCUAUCUUCAAGAAUGCUUCGUGGAAGUAUCGGAAUUACCUGAAGAAAAGGUACUUCGCCGACAAAGAAACUCAUCAAAUUCCCUUUCGUUCUCCUGAGACACAUUUACUGGACGAUGACUGGGAACGCCUUGUUUUGUACUGGUCCCGAACCAAGAAUGUGGUAAGGUCUAUGAGCUCAUUUUCUAUUUUUAAGUAUUAUAUCCUUGUGUCUUGCUGUACUCUGUUCAUGUAGAACAAGUGCCUAAACCUGAAGAACAACUGUUCUAAUUUAAGAUUCCAUUACUAUCAUAGUUCAAAAAAGCGCUAGGCAUUAAUUGUGCGUUUUGCCACCGCCUUGCGCUUUACUGGCCAAAGCACAUGCUUAUGCACAGUUAUGCACAGAUUAAGCGUAGUUAUGCGCAAUGCGUUUUGCCAACGCCUAGAGCCUAGGCGCACUGAAGCGCUCGCUUAGGCGCGCCUUUUUUAACUAUGAUCGCUUUGCUCUUGUAUCACUGUAUUUACUCAUACAAACUUAUUUUUAAAUUGAAGGAUCCAAUCGAAACUCCAAUGGCACAGCAGGUAUGUUCACGCAUGUUUCUUUAACAGGUUUGCUCUUAUCAAUAGCUCUUUUGAUUUCAAUUUCAAUUGUGUAUACAGUUGACUUUCAAUAGCAUCACAACAGAGCCAAUAGUGUUGUUGUACAUGUAGACCCGUGGUACCCAUCUAAAAUCUUGUUGUGCCGUGUAGUUUCCCAUGCUUUGUAUUCUUUCACUGCUGCUUUGUCUUGAACUGAUAUGAUUUGAACCGUGUCUCUAUUUUGAUUUGGCAAGAUAAUACAAUGACCAUAGGACAUAGAUAUAUGUUUGUUUGAUGCUUUUAUUAUGUACUAGUACUUGACAAUAGAAGACUUGGUAGUUUAUGUUGGGGAACGUAGUAAUUUCAAAAAAAUUCCUACGCACACGCAAGAUCAUGGUGAUGACAUAGCAACGAGAGGGGAGAGUGUUGUCCACGUACCCUCGUAGACACUAAGCGGAAGCGUUAGCACAACGCGGUUGAUGUAGUCGUACGUCUUCACGAUCCGAUCGAUCCAAGCACCGAACAUACGACACCUCCGAGUUCAGCACACGUUCAGCUCGAUGACGAUCCCCUUGCUCUGAUACAGCAAAGCUUCGGGGAUGAGUUCCGUCAGCACGACGGCAUGGUGACGAUGAUGAUGUUCAACCGGCGCAGGGCUUCGCCUAAACUACGUGACGAUAUGACCGAGGUGAAAUAUGGUGGAGGGGGGCACCGCACACGGCUAAGGAACGAUCCGUAGAUCAACUUAUGUGUUAUGGGGUGCCCCCUUGCCCCCGUAUAUAAAGGAGGGAGGGGGAGGUGCGGCCGGCCCCCUUGGGGUGCGCCUGGAGGAGUCCUACUCCCACCAGGAGUAGGACUCCCCCCUCUUGCCUUGGUGGAGAAGGAAAGGGGGGAGGGGAAAGAGGAAAGGGGGGUGCCGCCCCCCCCCUUCCUUGUCCUAUUCGGACUAGGGGGGGAGGGGGCGCGCGGCCUACCCUGGCCGGCCCUCCUCUUCUCCCUCAUGGCCCACUAAGGCCCAUUAACCCCCGGGAGGGUUCCGGUAACCCCCCGGUGUUCCGGUUAAAUCCUGAUUUCAUCCGGAACCUUUCCGAUGUCCAAACAUAGGCUUCGAAUAUAUCAAUCUUUAUGUCUCGACCAUUUCGAGACUCCUCGUUACGUCCGUGAUCACAUCCGGGACUCCGAACAAACUUCGGUACAUCAAAACUUAUAAACUCAUAAUAAAACUGUCAUCGUAACGUUAAGCGUGCGGACCCUACGGGUUCGAGAACUAUGUAGACAUGACCUAGAACUAUUCUCGGUCAAUAACCAAUAGCGGAACCUGGAUGCCCAUAUUGGUUCCUACAUAUUCUACGAAGAUCUUUAUUGGUCAAACCGCAUAACAACAUACGUUGUUCCCUUUAUCAUCGGUAUGUUACUUGCCCGAGAUUUGAUCGUCGGUAUCCAAUACCUAGUUCAAUCUCGUUACGGCAAGUCUCUUUAAUCAUUACGUAAUGCAUCAUCCCGUAACCAACUCAUUGGUCACAUUGCUUGCAAGGCUUGUAGUGAUGUGCAUUACCGAGAGGGCCCAGAGAUACCUCUCCGACAAUCGGAGUGACAAAACCUAAUCUCGAAAUACACCAACUCAACAUGUACCUUUGGAGACACCUGUAGUACUCCUUUAUAGUCACACAGUUACGUUGUGACGUUUGGUAGCACCCAAAGUGUUCCUCCGAUAAACGGGAGUUGCAUAAUCUCAUAGUUACAGGAACAUGUAUAAGUCAUGAAGAAAGCAAUAGCAACAUACUAAACGAUCAAGUGCUAGGCUAACGGAAUGGGUCAUGUCAAUCACAUCAUUCUCCUAAUGAUGUGAUCCCGUUAAUCAAAUGACAACUCUUUUGUCCAUGGCUAGGAAACUUAACCAUCUUUGAUUCAACGAGCUAGUCAAGUAGAGGCAUACUAGUGACAUUAUGUUUGUCUAUGUAUUCACACAUGUAUUAUGUUUCCGGUUAAUACAAUUCUAGCAUGAAUAAUAAACAUUUAUCAUGAUAUAAGGAAAUAAUUAAUAACUUUAUUAUUGCCUCUAGGGCAUAUUUCCUUCAGUCUCCCACUUGCACUAGAGUCAAUAAUCUAGUUCACAUCACCAUGUGAUUUAACACCAAUAUUCACAUCUGUAUGUGAUUAAACCCAUAGUUCACAUCUUCAUGUGACCAAAAACCCAAAGGGUUUACUAGAGUCAAUAAUCUAGUUCACAUUGCUAUGUGAUUAACACCCAAAGAGUACAAAGGUAUGAUCAUGUUUUGCUCGUGAGAGAAGCUUAGUCAACGGUUCUGUCACAUUCAGAGCCGCAUGUAUUUUGCAAAUAUUCUAUGUCUACAAUGCUCUGCACGGAGCUACUAUAGCUAAUUGCUCCCACUUUCAACAUGUAUCCAGAUUGAGACUUAUAGUCAUCUGGAUCAGUGUAAAAGCUUGCACUGUUGUAACUCUUUACGACGGGCUCUUUUAUCACCUCCAUAAUCGAGAAAUAUUUCUUUAGUCCUCACUAAGGAUAUUCUUGACCGUUGUCCAGUGAUCUACUAUUAGAUAAAAAUUGUAUUCCUUUGCCAAACUCAGAGCAAGGUAUAUAAUAGGUCUGGUUCACAGCAUAGCAUACUUUAUAGAACCUAUGACUGAGGCAUAGGGAAUGACUUUUCAUUCUCUUUCUAUUUUCUGCAAUGGUCGGGUCUUGAGUCUUACUCAACUUCACACCUUGUAACACAGGCAAGAACUCCUUCUUUGACUGUUCCAUUUUAAACUAUUUCAAAAAUUUAUCAAGGUAUGUACUCAUUGAAAAAUCUUAUCAAGCGUCUUGAUCUAUCUAUAUAGAUCUUGAUGCUCAAUGUGUAAGCAGCUUCACCGAGGUCUUGCUUUGAAAAACUCUUAUUCAAGUAUCCUUUCAUGCUAUCUAGAAUUUCCAUAUCAUUUCCAAUUAACAAUAUGUCAUCCACAUAUAAUAUUAGAAAUGCUACAGAGCUCCCACUCACUUUCUUGUAAAUACAGGCUUCUUCAAAAGUCUGUAUAAAACCAUAUGCUUUGAUCAACUCAUCAAAGCAUAUAUUCCAACUCCGAGAUGCUUGCACCAGUCCAUAGAUGGAUCGCUGGAGCUUGCACAAUUUGUUAGCACUUUUAGGAUUGACAAAACCUUUUGGUUGCAUCAUAUACAACUCUUUUUAAGAAAACCAUUAAGGAAUGCAAUUUUGACAUCCAUUUGCCAGAUUUCAUAAAAUGUGGCAAUUGCUAACAUGAUUCGGACAGACUUAAGCAUCGCUACAGUUGAGAAAAUCUCAUUGUAGUCAACACCUUGAACUUGUCAAAAACCUUUCGCAACAAGUCGAGCUUAGUAGAUAGUAACACUACUAUCAGUGUUCGUCUUCCUCUUGAAGAUCCAUUUAUUUUCUAUGGCUUGCCGAUCAUCGGGCAAGUCAAUCAAAGUCCACACUUUGUUCUUAUAUAUGGAUCCUAUCUCAAAUUUCAUGGCCUCAAGCCAUUUUGCGGAAUCUGGGCUCACCAUCGCUUCUUCAUAGUUCUUAGGUUCGUCAUGGUCUAGUAACAUAACUUCCAGAACAGGAUUACCGUACCACUUUGGUGCAGAUCUUACUCUGUAAGACCUACGAGGUUCUGUAGUAACUUAAUCUGAAGUUUCAUGAUCAUCAUCAUUAACUUCCUCACUAAUUGGUGUAGUAGUCACAGGAACAGAUUUCUGUGAUGAACUAAUUUCCAAUAAGGGAGCAGGUACAGUUACCUCAUCAAGUUCUACUUUCCUCCCACUCACUUCUUUCGAGAGAAACUUCUUCUCUAGAAAGGAUCCAUUCUUGGCAACGAAUGUUUUGCCUUCAGAUCUAUGAUUGAAGGUGUACCCAACAGUUUCCUUUGGGUAUUCUAUGAAGACGCACUUCUCCGAUUUGGGUUUGAGCUUAUCAGGAUCAAACUUUUCAUAUAAGCAUCGUAGCCCUAAACGACAACUUGGGUUUUCUUGCUAAACCACAGUUCAUAUAGUGUCGUCUCAACGGAUUUAGAUGGUGCCCUUUUAAUGUGAAUGCAGCUGUCUCUAAUGCAUAACCCCAAAACGAUAAUGGUAAAUCAAUAAGAGACAUCAUAGAUCGCACCAAAAUAAAGUGCGGUUACGACGCUCGGACACACCAUAACAUUGUGGUGUUCUAGGUGGCGUGAGCUGUGAAACUAUUCCACAUUGUUUUAAUUGAAGACCAAAAUCGUAACUCAAAUAUUCGCCUCUGCGAUCAGAUCGCAGAAACUUUAUUUUCUUGUUACGAUGAUUUUUCCACUUCACUCUGAAAUUCUUUGAACCUUUGAACUAUUUCAGACUUAUGUUUCAUCAAGUAGAUAUACUCAUAUCUGCUCAAAUCAUCUUGUGAAGGUCAGAAAAUAACGAUACUUGCCACGAGCAUCAACACUCAUUGGAUCGCAUACAUCGGUAUGUAUUAUUUCCAAUAAGUCAGUAGCUCAUUCCAUUGUUCUGGAGAACGGAGUUUUAGUCAUCUUGCCUAAAAGGCACGGUUCGCAAGCAUCAAAUGAUUCAUAACCAAGUGAUUCCGAAAAUCCAUCUUUAUGGAGUUUCUUCAUGCGCUUUACACCGAUAUGACCCAAACAGCAGUGCCACAAAUAAGUUACACUAUCAUUAUUAAGUUUGCAUCUUUUGGCAUCAAUAUUAUGAAUAUGUGUAUCACUAUGAUCGAGAUCCAACAAACUAUUGUCAUUGGGUGUAUAACCAUUGAAGGACUUAUUCAUGUAAACAGAAUAACAAUUAUUCUUUAACUUCAAAUGAAUAACUGUAUCGCAAUAAACAUGAUCAAAUCAUAUUCAUGCUCAACGCAAACGCUAAAUAACAUUUAUUUAGGUUUAACACUAAUCCCGACAGUAUAGGGAGUGUGUGAUGAUGAUCAUAUCAAUCUUGGAACUAUUUCCAACACUUAUCAUCACUUCCCCUCAACUAGUCUCUGUUUAUUCUGUAACUCCUGUUUCGAGUUACUAAUCUUAGUGACCGAACAAGUAUCAAAUACUCAGGGGCUACUAUAAACACUAGUAAGGCAUACAUCAAUAACCUGUAUAUCAAAUACACCCUUGUUCACUUUGCCAUCCUUCUUAUCCACCAAAUAUUCAGGGCAUUUCCGCUUCCAGUGACCAUUUCCUUUGCAGUGUAAGCACUCAGUUUCAGGCUUUGGUCCAGCUUUGGUCUUCUUCACGGGAGUGACAACUUGCUUGCCAUUCUGCUUGAAGUUCCCUUUCUUUCCCUUUGCCCUUUUCUUGAAACUAGUGGUCUUGUCAAUCAUCAACACUUGAUGCUCUUUCUUGAUUUCUACCUUCGUCGAUUUCAGCAUCACGAAGAGCUUGGGAAUCGUUUUCGUCAUCCCUUGCAUUAUAGUUCAUCACGAAGUUCUACUAACUUGGUGGUGGUGACUAGAGAAUUCUGUCAAUCACUAUCUUAUCUGGAAGAUUAACUCCCACUUGAUUCAAGCGAUUGUAGUACCCAGACAAUCUGAGCACAUGCUCACUAGUUGAGCGAUUCUCCUCCAUCUUUUAGCUAUAGAACUUGUUGGAGACUUCAUAGCUCUCAACUCGGGUAUUUGCUUGAAAUAUUAACUUCAACUCAUGGAAUAUCUCAUAUGGUCCAUGAUGUUCAAAACGUUUUUGAAGUCCCGAUUCUAAGCCAUAAAGCAUGGUGCACAAAACUAUCAAGUAGUAAUCAUAUUGAGCUAGCCAAACGUUCAUAACGUCUGCAUCUGCUCCUAUAAUAGGUCUGUCACCUAGCGGUGCAUUAAGGACAUAAUUCUUCUGUGCAGCAAUGAGGAUAAACCUUAGAUCACGGAUCCAAUCCGCAUCAUUGCUACUAACAUCUUUCAACACAAUUUUCUCUAGGAACAUAUAAAAAUAAACAUAUGAAAGCAACAACGCAAGCUAUUGAUCUACAACAUAAUUUCCAAAAUACUACCAGGACUAAGUUCAUGAUAAAUUUAAGUUCAAUUAAUCAUAUUACUUAAGAACUCCCACUUAGACAGACAUCUCUCUAGUCAUCUAUGUGAUCACGUGAUCCAAAUCAACUAAACCAUGUCCGAUCAUCACGUGAGAUGGAGUAGUUUCAAUGGUGAACAUCACUAUGUUGAUCAUAUCUACUAUAUGAUUCACGCUCGACCUUUCGGUCUCCGUGUUCCAAGGCCAUAUCUGUAUAUGCUAGGCUCGUCAAGUAUGACCUGAGUAUUCCGCGUGUGCAACUGUUUUGCACCCGUUGUAUUUGAACGUAGAGCCUAUCACACCCGAUCAUCACGUGGUGUCUCAGCACGAAGAACUUUCACAACGGUGCAUACUUAGGGAGAACACUUCUUGAUUAUUAGUGAGAGAUCAUCUUAAAAUGCUACCGUCAAUCAAAGCAAGAUAAGAUGCAUAAAGGAUAAACAUCACAUGCAAUCAAUAUAAGUGAUAUGAUAUGGCCAUCAUCAUCUUGUGCUUGUGAUCUCCAUCUUCGAAGCACCGUCGUGAUCACCAUCGUCACCGGCGUGACACCUUCAUCUCCAUCGUAGCAUCGUUGUCGUUACGCCAUCUAUUGCUUCUACGACUAUCGCUACCACUUAGAGAUAAAGUAAAGCAAUUACAGGGCGUUUGCAUCUCAUACAAUAAAGCGACAACCAUAUGGCUCCUGCCAGUUGCCGAUAACUUCGGUUACAAAACAUGAUCAUCUCAUACAGAUAUAAUAUAGCAUCACGUCUUGACCAUAUCACAUCACAACAUGCCCUGCAAAAACAAGUUAGACAUCCUCUACUUUGUUGUUGCAAAUUUUACGUGGCUGCUACGGGCUUUAGCAAGAACCGUUCUUACCUGCGCAUAAAAACCACAACGAUAGUUCGUCAAAUUGGUGCUGUUUUAACCUUCGCAAGGACCGGGCGUAGCCACACUCGAUUCAGCUAAAGUGAGAGAGACAGACACCCGCCAGCCACCUUUAAGCACGAGUGCUCCUAAUGGUGAAACCAGUCUCGCGUAAGCGUACGCGUAAUGUCGGUCCGGCCCGCUUCAUCUCACAAUACCGCCGAACCAAAGUAUGACAUGCUGGUAAGCAGUAUGACUUGUAUCACCCACAACUCACUUGUGUUCUACUCGUGCAUAUAACAUCAACGCAUAAAACCUAGGCUCGGAUGCCACUGUUGGGGAACGUAGUAAUUUCAAAAAAAUUCCUACACACACGCAAGAUCAUGGUGAUGACAUAGCAACAAGAGGGGAGAGUGUUGUCCACGUACCCUCUUAGACCGUAAGCGGAAGCGUUAGCACAACGCGGUUGAUGUAGUCGUACGUCUUCAUGAUCCGACCGAUCCAAGCACCGAACGUACGGCACCUCCGAGUUCAGCACACGUUCAGCUCGAUGACGAUCCCCGGGCUUCGAUCCAGCAAAGCUUCGGGGAUGAGUUCCGUCAGCACGACGGCGUGGUGACGAUGAUGAUGUUCUACUGGCGCAGGGCUUCGCCUAAACUCCGCGACGAUAUGACCGAGGUGGAAUAUGGUGGAGGGGGGCACCGCACACGGCUAAGGAACGAUUCGUAGAUCAACUUAUGUGUUAUGGGGUGCCCCCUUGCCCCCGUAUAUAAAGGAGGGAGGGGGAGGUGCGGCCGGCCCCCUUGGGGUGCGCCUGGAGGAGUCCUACUCCCACCGGGAGUAGGACUCCCCCCUCUUGCCUUGGUGGAGAAGGAAAGGGGGGAGGGGAAAGAGGAAAGGGGGGCGUCGCCCCCCUUCCUUGUCCUAUUCGGACUAGAGGGGGAGGGGGCGCGCGGCCUGCCCUGGCCGGCCCUCCUCUUCUCCCUCAUGGCCCACUAAGGCCCAUUAACCCCCGGGAGGGUUCCGGUAACCCCCCGGUGUUCCGGUAAAAUCCCGAUUUCAUCCGGAACCUUUCCGAUGUCCAAACAUAGGCUUCCAAUAUAUCAAUCUUUAUGUCUCGACCAUUUCGAGACUCCUCGUUACGUCCGUGAUCACAUCCGGGACUCCGAACAAACUUCGGUACAUCAAAACUUAUAAACUCAUAAUAAAACUGUCAUCGUAACGUUAAGCGUGCGGACCCUACGGGUUCGAGAACUAUGUAGACAUGACCUAGAACUAUUCUCGGUCAAUAACCAAUAGCGGAACCUGGAUGCCCAUAUUGGUUCCUACAUAUUCUAUGAAGAUCUUUAUCGGUCAAACCGCAUAACAACAUACGUUGUUCCCUUUGUCAUCGGUAUGUUACUUGCCCGAGAUUUGAUCGUCGGUAUCCAAUACCUAGUUCAAUCUCGUUACCAGCAAGUCUCUUUACUCGUUACAUAAUGCAUCAUCGCGUAACCAACUCAUUGGUAACAUUGAUUGCAAGGCUUGUAGUGAUGUGCAUUACCGAGAGGGCCCAGAGAUACCUCUCCGACAAUCGGAGUGACAAAACCUAAUCUCGAAAUAUGCCAACUCAACAUGUACCUUUGGAGACACCUGUAGUGGUCCUUUAUAAUCACCCAGUUACGUUGUGAUGUUUGGUAGCACCCAAAGUGUUUCUCCGAACGGGAGUUGCAUAAUCUCAUAGUUACAGGAACAUGUAUAAGUCAUGAAGAAAGCAAUAGCAACAUACUAAACGAUCAAGUGCUAGGCUAAUGGAAUGGGUCAUGUCAAUCACAUCAUUCUCCUAAUGAUGUGAUCCCGUUAAUCAAAUGACAACUCUUUUGUCCAUGGCUAGGAAACUUAACCAUCUUUGAUUCAACGAGCUAGUCAAGUAGAGGCAUACUAGUGACACUAUGUUUGUCUAUGUAUUCACACAUGUAUUAUGUUUCUGGUUAAUACAAUUCUAGCAUGAAUAAUAAACAUUUAUCAUGAUAUAAGGAAAUAAAUAAUAACUUUAUUAUUGCCUCUAGGGCAUAUUUCCUUCAGUUUAAUCCUGUCCACCUUACUAAUGAACUGGUUCACCGAAAUGAGUUUCAUAUACUAGUACAUGCUAAACUUGUUAUUUGUCUGCUUGUUUCUUGUUUUAGAAUGCUGACAGAAUAUUGGGAAAAGUGCCUUAUUAAGCAAUGGUAUAGGAGGUAAUGCAGAUAAGGUUUAGGAUAGUGACACAUCCUUGUUGGUCUCCAACAAAGCUGAUAAAACAGCUAAGGAAGACUAUCUUGAAGACAGCGAGACAACCCCAAAGUCCUGUCUUGGUUUAGUGUUCGAGUUACUGGCCACUACCGCUUGCACAAGCUAUUCAAACUCACUGUCUGAAUCAGUUCAGUUUCUUGAGUCUCAACUACAAGCUGAAAGACAUCGAUCAGCUGUGGUGCAACAAGAAGCGGAAGGAGUGCGGAAGUCCCUGGAGCAUUCAGAUGCAUACUUUCUGGUGCAACAGCAAGCGUUGGAGGAUUUUAGCGCCAAACAGGACAAAGCUAAUCAGCUUGCUAAGCUUAUUGCCACCAUAGUGGAUACCCAGGAUAACGUUUCUUGAGCUCUUCUGAAGUUGUUUCAGUUAUGCUGUUGUUUUGCUGUCGCGUUUAUUUGCACUGGUGGCCAAUUUUGACGGCCAGUGUAUGUAGUGUGCUGCUUUAUUCCCAAUAUUUGCACUGGUGGCGAACUUUGAUGCCCAGUGGAUGUAAUAUGUGUAAUAGCGGUAAUAGGCUAGCGUUAAUUGCUUGCUUAUUUAUUUCCUUAUUGUCUUGUUUUGUUGUUUGAUUGUAGUCACUGCAGUUCUUUUUCUGUGUUUUUGUAGUGGCCACAAUAGCCUAUUUUUGGUAACUAGGCCAAAAUUAUCAUGGCAACACACGGACUGUUCUAACCAUGGGCCUCCUGCAGGCCGUAUGAUCCAUGGGCCUUCUUCCGACCGUAGGUUCCAUCAGCCUUCUAUACGGGCCUUAGGGUCCAUGGGCCUUCUACGGGCCGUAGGGUCCAUGGGCCUUCUGCGGGCCGCAGGGUCCAUGGGCCUUCUACGGGCCGUACGUUCCAUGGGCCUCAUACGGGCCAUAGGAUCCAUGGGCCUUCUACGGGGCGUAUCAUCAUUUCACCAAUCCUGGGCCGUACUAUUCAUGGACCAUAACGGGCCGUUAAUAGGUCGUAUUUGAUAACUCUAUGAAAACAGCCCAACGGGUUUUUUUUGACAUGAAAACGACCCAACGUAUUAAUGGUCCGCAAAUGGGCCAACUGUAACGACGGGCUGAAUUUGGCCGACAAGCAGAAAAUCACAGUAACGGGCCGUAUGUAACCGAAUGCUGCAAAUGAGCCCAAGAAUCAAUGGGCCCUGAGAAGGCCGAAAGAUAACUUGGGCUGGAAAUGGCCCAAUGGAAUAACGGGUCGUUAAUGGGUAUAACGUGAUACACUGUUCAUUACAGGCCAGUUUCACCACGGGCUGUUAAUGGGCCAAGAUUUACAAAGGGCCUCAUAUGGGCCGAAAGAAGUCAUGGGCCACACAUGGGCCGGAAGUUAAAAUGGGCUGGAAUCAUAUUGGACGGCCCAGAUGAUGCUACUGGGCCUAAUUCGGAUAGGGCGUAACGGGCCCUGGGUUAGCGGGCUGUAAAUGGACUAUAUGCGAACAGGUCGUUAACAGGCUUUCCGUGGGCCGGCCCGCCACCUUUUGACCAAGUCAAACGGGCCGGCCUUUUCACAGGAAUGGGCCUCUGUUGGGCCGUGCCACGUGUUGCCGUAUCAUAGGUGCCUUCGGUCCAAUGAGCGGAUGACAUCUGUCCCAGCGGUGAGCCGACACGUGUUUCCUCCAGCCAAUGAUGAUUUUACACGUUGAAAAUCCCCAUUGGUCGGGGCUGUUAAUGGGUUAAAGGAUCCAAAACCCGACCCGAUAGCUUAACGGCGUUCCGUUACGGUGGAUGCCACAUGUCGGUCACCCUUGAUGAAAGCACUUCUGUGAUGCGCGAUUUAUCGUCAUGGGAGUGGACACUUCCGUGAUGAUAAUUUUGGUAAUGUCAUCGAACACUUCUAUGACAACACAGGUAUGACUAUCUUGAUCCUGUCAUAAAUUUGUCAUGGAUGUACAUGCAUGACAAAAAAUGCGACCUACUAUGACAAACACGUAUCAUCACGGAAGUGUAUUUUUUUGUAGUGGAUGCAGGCAGGAGUUGGUCUACUUGCAUCGAAUGUGAUGCCUAUAUGCAUGAUCAUUGCCAUGAAUCCAUCAUAAUUAUUUGCUUUUCUAUCAAUUGCCCAACAACAAUUUGUUUACCCACCGUAUGUUCUGCAAUCAAGAGAGAAGCAUCUAGUAAAAACUAUGGCCCCUUGGUGUACUUUUAUCAUAUAUAAAAACACAAAAAUACCUAGCUGCAAUUUAUUUACUUUUAUUUUAUUUUGUAUUUUACUUUAUCCAUCUAUCACUAUCAGAAUUAGUCAUUGCAAAUAACCGCUACGAGGAUUGACAAGCCUAUUAUUUGCGUUGGGUGCAAGUGUUUGGUUUUGUGUGUGCAGGUGCUGCUAACAAUGUUUUGUGUGGUUCACCUAAUGGAUUCAUAACCUUGAUUCUUAACUGAGUGAAAUACUUAUUUGUACUAUACUGCAUCAUCCUCUCCUCCUUGGGAAUUAACAACAUAGUCUACAAGUAGCACUCUCCGUUGAAAUGUUAAAUUGUAAUUAGUCCUUACUCCCGAAUUAAUAGUACUUCAAUUUGAAACAAGUUUCGGACAUGUUAAUUAUGUUAUGUUCAUAAUACUACAGUUCAUAUAUAAGUAAACGUCGCAUAACAUUGAGAUUGUAGUUAGGGAUGGAAAUCAAAAUAUGGCAUGAAUGUAACAAUUGCUAGCAAUGUGCUUCAGAAAAGAACUUAUUUGACUUUUAUUCCCAUGUUUGGACUAGUACAGGUCGGGGUUACACAUGAUGGUGCACAUCACUUUCUUUAUCACCGUUACAUUAUGCUCCAUUGACUAACAACGAUGAUUCACCCGUCUAGUAUUACAUCUAUUCAUUUCAUAGGCCACUGAUACUUAUAACGUCGCUCCCAGAUGGUUGUUGUUGUGGAUAUUGUUGGUAUGGGGAAGGUUCUUGUGAUUGCUGGGGUGGGUAUGGUAUUGGAAAUUGUUUUUGGGGGGAUUGUUGUGGUGGUUGCAGGGGGAAUUGUUGUUGGGGGAAUUGUUGUUGUUCAGGGGAUUGUUGUNNNNNNNNNNNNNNNNNNNNNNNNNNNNNNNNNNNNNNNNNNNNNNNNNNNNNNNNNNNNNNNNNNNNNNNNNNNNNNNNNNNNNNNNNNNNNNNNNNNNNNNNNNNNNNNNNNNNNNNNNNNNNNNNNNNNNNNNNNNNNNNNNNNNNNNNNNNNNNNNNNNNNNNNNNNNNNNNNNNNNNNNNNNNNNNNNNNNNNNNNNNNNNNNNNNNNNNNNNNNNNNNNNNNNNNNNNNNNNNNNNNNNNNNNNNNNNNNNNNNNNNNNNNNNNNNNNNNNNNNNNNNNNNNNNNNNNNNNNNNNNNNNNNNNNNNNNNNNNNNNNNNNNNNNNNNNNNNNNNNNNNNNNNNNNNNNNNNNNNNNNNNNNNNNNNNNNNNNNNNNNNNNNNNNNNNNNNNNNNNNNNNNNNNNNNNNNNNNNNNNNNNNNNNNNNNNNNNNNNNNNNNNNNNNNNNNNNNNNNNNNNNNNNNNNNNNNNNNNNNNNNNNNNNNNNNNNNNNNNNNNNNNNNNNNNNNNNNNNNNNNNNNNNNNNNNNNNNNNNNNNNNNNNNNNNNNNNNNNNNNNNNNNNNNNNNNNNNNNNNNNNNNNNNNNNNNNNNNNNNNNNNNNNNNNNNNNNNNNNNNNNNNNNNNNNNNNNNNNNNNNNNNNNNNNNNNNNNNNNNNNNNNNNNNNNNNNNNNNNNNNNNNNNNNNNNNNNNNNNNNNNNNNNNNNNNNNNNNNNNNNNNNNNNNNNNNNNNNNNNNNNNNNNNNNNNNNNNNNNNNNNNNNNNNNGGGGAGUUGUUCUGGUUGCUGGGGGAUUUGAUGUUGUUGGGGGAUUUGUUGUUGGG
RNAcentral lists this long non-coding RNA (43520 nucleotides) under Triticum aestivum (bread wheat). RNAcentral describes it as "long non-coding RNA (TAES_LNC028383)". The stretch from base 3323 to 3457 matches the Rfam family "MIR1120/MIR1122 microRNA precursor family". The record is from RNAcentral. Lineage: Eukaryota; Viridiplantae; Streptophyta; Magnoliopsida; Poales; Poaceae.